RNAcentral lists this ribosomal RNA (381 nucleotides) under uncultured bacterium. RNAcentral describes it as "bacterial SSU rRNA". It matches the Rfam family "Bacterial small subunit ribosomal RNA", at positions 975 to 1375 of the family's 1533-position model. The record is from RNAcentral.
CUGGGCUUGACAUGCACUCGCAAUCCCGAGAAAUCGGGACCUCGCAAGACGGGUGCACAGAUGCUGCAUGGCUGUCGUCAGCUCGUGUCGUGAGAUGUCGGGUUAAGUCCCGCAACGAGCGCAACCCCUGUCCUUAGUUGCAUAUCUAGGGAGACUGCCGGAAACAAACCGGAGGAAGGUGGGGAUGAUGUCAAGUCAGCAUGGCUCUUACGUCCAGGGCUACACACACGCUACAAUGGAGAGUACAAAGAGAUGCCACCCCGCAAGGGGGAGCGGACCUCUAAAAGCUUUCCUCAGUUCAGAUUGCACUCUGCAACCCGAGUGCAUGAAGUCGGAGUUGCUAGUAACCGCGUGUCAGCAUAGCGCGGUGAAUAUGUUCCC